RNAcentral lists this long non-coding RNA (1794 nucleotides) under Olea europaea (common olive). Its description in RNAcentral is "long non-coding RNA (OEUR_LNC001416)". Lineage: Eukaryota; Viridiplantae; Streptophyta; Magnoliopsida; Lamiales; Oleaceae. The record is from RNAcentral.
AUUAGUACAAUGUUGUUUUCUCUGUUUCAAGUUCUUUGGCAGGUGCCCCUUUUUUCUACUCCCUCUAUGUAUCAACGGAUCAGGGUUUUUGAAUGACGCGUUAACAGAAAACGUUGAGAGAAAAAAUGGCUUAUGUUGUCAUCUGAUAAUAAUUCUUGGUGAACUUUGUAGGUUGUCUUUCUUAUGUGGCAUUUGUAUUGUGCAUGUUUUAACAUCAAAACUGAUGAGUGCAUGGGUAAAUUCUAUAUUUAUAAAUUAAAAAAUCGGAUAAGGGAUUUUACGCUCUUACAUUUGGAAAUUAAAGUACUUCCCAUGUCUCUUUUGGGUUGAAUCUAGGUCAUGACGCGUUCUUCUUUUUUAAUAAUUUACACUUUAUUUUAAUUUUCUUAGGGACGGGAUGGGGUUACCAUCAAUAAGAAGUUGGUAAUGGAUGGAUAUAUGGAGGGAUGUGAGAUGGGGUAAGUUUUCCACAUCAAGUACAUGUUCGGAUUCGGAGUUCUGGAAGUGAGUUUCAUUUUACAUAUUUUGAACCUGGCCCUUGCUGAGUAUUUUAUUGGUUAAUUGAGAAAUAAGGUGCAUAUGAAAAUGGAGAAAUCUCCCUUGAAUUUCAUCCUAAAGACUAUUUUAUUCUGAACUGCAGUCUCCAUUUAGAUUUCUAUCCCCCUUUUAUGUAAGAUCUCUUCAAAAGGAUCAUAUAUUUGUAAAGGAGAUGAGUGUCAAUCAAGGUGGAAAAUCAUACUGCGAGCUUGUUUGGCUAAGCUCAAAAUAUUUAGUUAUAAAAUAAGUUUACUUGUAAGUAAAUAAGAAGUUUUUUAAUGUAUCUAAUUUGGAAAUAAAUAAGCUAUUGAAAGUAAGGCAAGAGUUAGCUUGAAAAUAUGUAAUUUUUACUUAAAAAGUAAAGAAAAGGUAACUUGUUCAAACUGCUUGAAAAUAAGUAUAAUUUUUACUUGCGAGUAAAUAAAAAGGAACUUGUUCAAACAUGUUUGAAAACAAACGUGUAGCGAUGACAAAUUUACUAAAAGCUGAAGUGUCCGGCUAAACUUACUAUUAUAUUGUUGCUCUUUGUGAUUCGGCCAUUUGUUUAUCCGAGUUCAGCCGAUAUAUUGUGAUUACUUGUGUUGUGUGGAUGUAUUUGGUGACCUAAAAAUUCAUUUUUGCAGAUAAAUUGGAAGACGUAUCCAGAAUUCCACGAUAAGGUUCUCUCUGAUGCAGGUAAUUCACUAGAACUCUUUUCCAUGAUAUGGUGUUAUGCUCUAAUUUUGUUCUUCCUCCCACCAUUUUUGUCUUGGACAACCCCAAAUUGGCCUUCAGUUGAAGAAUCCACAUGACAAGGGAAUUCUGAGCAAUCUGAAGGAGUCCCUGACAGCGAAAGGAUAAUGCUCAUGUACCUUUUUGUGUAUAACUUGUGUAGUUUUACAACAUUAAACUGCUUCCUUAACUUGACCAGGCGGGUACAUGUGGAUCUCUUGAUGAGGGGCGAAAGUUCACAGGUUCACGAUCGAUGAUAUUAUCGUGUCUAUAGUAUAUUUACAUAUGAUUCUUGAUUAGGGGCAAUAGUCAGCCUGAAUCGGGUCGGGCUGGAUUGUCAAUUUUUUACGAAAAUGUAAACCUGUCUUGAAAAUAGCGGCCGAGCUACUGGGCCGCUUGAAGAAAAAUUGUGCUAGCCCGACGCGGCCAUUUUUACCUGGAUGAUGGAUAUUAGAACAAAAAGGAUGUUAGAUGAACAAGUAAUAGUACACGUGCAUGUUUGGCAAAGCUUAAAUUAUAGUUUAAACUAAUCGAAUAUAUUUGUUA